GGAGCAAUACCCAAGCGGUUCAAGGGGCGUUUUUGCUAAAGAUGUAGAGGGAAAAAUCCCUGCCGAAGUUCGAAUCUUCGUUGCUCCGCCA
Molecule: transfer RNA, 91 nt
Filed under: Siphoviridae sp. ct43U4
Lineage: Duplodnaviria; Heunggongvirae; Uroviricota; Caudoviricetes
Description: tRNA-Ser
Rfam family: tRNA
About the family: Transfer RNA (tRNA) molecules are approximately 80 nucleotides in length.
Source: RNAcentral